This 2389-nucleotide long non-coding RNA is filed under the name Aotus nancymaae (Ma's night monkey). Its description in RNAcentral is "lncRNA (ENSANAG00000039473.1)". Lineage: Eukaryota; Metazoa; Chordata; Mammalia; Primates; Aotidae. The record is from RNAcentral.
UCCAGACUUGCAUUCAGAACAAAUGAAUUCUAGAUCUCAGUUUGGAUUUUAUUAUAGAACCUUUAUCUUUCUCUCCCAGCUCUCUUAAUCCUAGUUGGUACUCCUACAGGUGCAUGCCAUUGAUCUUAAGGCUAGCUGUGCAAGAGAAUGCGAAUGGUUUGAUAGAGUUCUUUCCCAUUGUUCAAUUUUAACAUGGAAAAGGCAGCUCUUACUCUCAUAAUUGGCAACCUCUGUUUACUUAAGCAUGUUAUAUUAGUAUAUAUUGCCUUAUUUUGAAUAGUGUUGCUGAAGGACCAUUUAUUACUGGAGAAAACAUUGAUACUUCCAGUGACCUUAUGCUGGCUCAGAUGCUACAGAUGGAAUUUGACAGAGAAUAUGACGCACAGCUUAGGCGUGAAGAAAAAAAAUUCAAUGGAGAUAGCAAAGUUUCCAUUUCCUUUGAAAAUUAUCGAAAAGUGCAUCCUUAUGAAGACAGCGAUAGCUCUGAAGAUGAGGUUGACUGGCAGGAUACUCGUGAUGAUCCCUACAGACCAGCAAAACCGGUUCCUACUCCUAAAAAGGGCUUUAUUGGAAAAGGAAAAGAUAUCACCACCAAACAUGAUGAAGUAGUAUGUGGGAGAAAGAAUACAGCAAGAAUGGAAAAUUUUGCACCUGAGUUUCAGGUAGGGGAUGGAAUUGGAAUGGAUUUAAAACUAUCAAACCAUGUUUUCAAUGCUUUAAAACAACAUGCCUACUCAGAAGAACGUCGAAGUGCCCGCCUACAUGAAAAAAAGGAGCAUUCAACAGCAGUAAGGAUUUAUAGAUUUUUUUUUUCUUUUUUACUAGGAAGAUUCAUAUUUGAAAACUUGGGGGAAGAAAAAAACUUCAUGUUUGAUAUUUUUUAUGAGAUUGGCUUUUCAAAUUAAAGAUGUAAAUAGGGCCGGGCGCGGUGGCUCACGCCUGUAAUCCCAACAUUUUGGGAGGCCAAGGCGGGUGGAUCACAAGGUCAAGAGAUCAAGACCAUCCUGGUCAACAUGGUGAAACCCCAUCUAUACUAAAAAUACAAAAAAUUAGCUGGACACGGUGGCGCGUGCCUGUAAUCCCAGCUACUCAGGAGGCUGAGGCAGGAGAAUUGCCUGAACCCAGGAGGCGGAGGUUGCGAUGAGCCGAAAUCGCGCCAUUGCACUCCAGCCUGGGUAUCAAGAGCGAAACUCCGUCUCAAAAAAAAGAAAGAUGUAAAUAAAGCCAGGCACUGUGGCACCCACCUGUAAUCCCACUACUUUGGGAGACAGAGACAGGAGGAUUACUUGAGCCAAGGAGUGCGAGAAUAGCUCAGGCAAUAUAAUGACCCCCAGCUCUACGAAAAAAAUUAGCUGGGCAUUGUGGCACACACCUGUGGUCCCAAUUACUUGGGAGGCUGAGGUGGGAGGAUCGCUCGAGCCCGAGAAGUCAAGGCUGCAGUGAACCAUGUUUGUACCACUGUACUGUAGACUGGGUGACAGAGGAAGACCCUGACUCAAAAAAAAAAAAAAGAGAGAUGUAAAUAAGCCAGGUGAUGUGGCUCCUAGCACUUUGGGAGGCCAAGGUGGAAGGAUUGCUUGAGCCCAGGAGUUCGAGGCCAGCCUGGGCAACAUUGGGAAACCCUGGGAGACCCUGUCUCUGCAAAAAAAGUAAAAAUUAGCUGGGCAUCCAGCAUGGUGGUAUGCAACUGUAGUCCCAGCUACUCGGGAGGCUGAGGUGGGAGGAUCACUUGAACUUGAGUCCAGGAAUUCGAUGCUGCAGUGAGCUAUAAUCAUGUCACUGCAUUCCAUCCUGGACAACAGAGUGAGACCCUGUCUCUCUCUCUAAAAAAAAGAUAUUAGGCUGGGCUUGGUGGCUCACGCCUAUAAUCCCAGCACUUUAGGAGACUGAGGCGGGUGGAUCAAGAGAUCAGGAGUUCAAGACCAGCCUGGCCAACAUGGUAAAAUCCCGUCUCUACUAAAAAUACAAAAAUUAGCCAGGCAUGGUGGCAGGCACCUAUAAUACCAGCUACUCGGGAGGCUGAGGCAGGAGAAUUGCUUGAACCCAGGAGGUGGAGGUUGCAGUGAGCUAAAAUUGUGCCAUUGCACUCCAGCCUGGGCAACAAGAGGAAGACUCUGUCUCAAAAAAAAAAAUAUUUGAAGUAGCUCAGAAUAUGUUUUGUAAUUAGCAGUUAUUUUCACUUACAGUGCUUUAUCUCUUGCAGGAAAAAGCAGUUGAUCCUAAGACACGUUUACUUAUGUAUAAAAUGGUGAACUCUGGAAUGCUGGAGACAAUCACUGGCUGUAUUAGUACAGGAAAGGAAUCUGUUGUCUUUCAUGCAUAUGGAGGGAGGUAAAUGAGCAAAAUAUGAUACCAUCAUAUGAAAAAAAGCUUAGUCUCUUCUCAAGAU